RNAcentral lists this transfer RNA (86 nucleotides) under Rhodospirillales bacterium. Its description in RNAcentral is "tRNA-Leu". It matches the Rfam family "tRNA". Rfam says of the family: Transfer RNA (tRNA) molecules are approximately 80 nucleotides in length. Their secondary structure includes four short double-helical elements and three loops (D, anti-codon, and T loops). Lineage: Bacteria; Pseudomonadati; Pseudomonadota; Alphaproteobacteria; Rhodospirillales. The record is from RNAcentral. RNAcentral also lists the same sequence under 3 other names.
GCCCGCGUGGCGAAACGGCAGACGCUACGGACUUAAAAUCCGUUUCCGGCAACGGAGUGGGGGUUCGAGUCCCCCCGCGGGCACCA